ACACCACUCGAUAAUUAUGUGAAAUUUCGUUAGAAGUCGGGUAUGUGUUUCAUGCGUGCGGCGUUUUUUUUUGUGCAAUCAAUUUGGGUCUUUAUCAAUUUUUGGAGAUUUUUGGUAUCGAAGUUGUUCGAUAGAGAUCCAGCUAUGCAUAUGCGGGCGGUAGGAUGUACUGACUCUGGAAUCUAUAUCAAAUGUGUGAAUAUUUCUUUGAAUGGAAUCAUAUAGUAGCUGUUGUAACCCUGAUUAUGAUUUGGUCUUGUAGUUGCAUUCAUCUUAUGAAUUGAAUUUUGUGUGGUUUAUUCGACGUUAUGCUCACGGUUUGAAGGCAAUGUCAAACUCCCAACGAGUUGGGAUGCAUCAUGGUAUUGGUAGUAGCAUCGAAGGGAACUAUGUAUCGCCACCGCGGAAGUAUCGUAAGGGGAUAGGUCUCGAAGGAUGUGGGUUGUACGCGAGGAGGAGAUCCUAGCAGCUACGUUACUAGACCUAGUGGCCCAUGGUUGGAAAUCCGAUAAUGGUUUUCAUGCAGGUUAUCAACAGAAGAUCGAGGAUGCUAUACAAGCGGAGUUCCCAAAGACAAAUAUCAAGGGUACUCCUCAUGUGACAUCGAAGAUUUCAGCGUGGAAGGGACACUGCAACAGCCUCAAUCGAAUCUUAAGUCGGAGUGGAGUGGGUUCAAUAACGAUGGCGAAUACAAGAUAGACUGCAGCGACGAACAAUGGGCACAAAUUGUUCAGGCUGAUAAACAUGCAAAGUUUAUGCGGACGAAGUCUUGGCCACUUUGGGAGACUUGGAAGGCAAUAUUUGGCAAAGAUCGUGCCAGUGGUGGUGGGGCUGAGGACCUGCAAGCGGCUGCUAAGCGGCAGCGAGAUAAAGUCGCUGCUGCUGCAAGCCAAACACGCUAGGCUGAUGAGCUCCCGUUGUCUGAAGAAUUCCCAAAUCACGAAACUGAUCCGGUGGCAGAGCAAGUGGAACAGAACGACAUAAGUUCAGGAAACAAUGAGAGGCACACGUCUACCACCAAAUCUGGUGGAAGCAAACGCAAGAGCACCUCCUCUAAUGAUGCACUGUUGGACUUCUUAGCUAAUCUACAUGCCGACACUAACGCUCGGUUGGAGGUUAUUGCUGCAAGAAUCAGGUACGAGUUUGAUUUGGGAAAGGCUAGGCAAGAGGUUUUUGACAAGCUUGGUACCGUUGACGGCCUAACUCUUGAAGAGAGGUACGACCUCUGCGACAUCCUCAGCAAAAAUUCGGAGUGGAUGGAGGUUUUCAUAGGGAUGCCACCGAAUGCUAGGCCGGGGUAUCUGAAAAGGUUUGUCAAACCAAAUAACCUGCCCAAGUGAACGCAGUUGCUGGUAUCUCUUCAUCCCAUGGUAUUAUAAUUGGCUAAUGAUAAUUUAUCCCAACUUGUCUCUCCUGAUGCAUAAGUUAAGUAGAAGUAAAUGCUUUUUUUGUAAACUUUGCCUAUAGUACGCAAAACGUUUUGUAAACCUAUUCAAGGUGGGACAGUAUAUGGGACUUUUGAUGAUGAUAAUGUAAAUUAUAUUAUGUUUGCUGAUU
This is a long non-coding RNA of Salvia hispanica, 1557 nucleotides long. RefSeq lists it as uncharacterized. Lineage: Eukaryota; Viridiplantae; Streptophyta; Magnoliopsida; Lamiales; Lamiaceae. The record is from RefSeq and is a predicted model, not a curated record.